UUCGGAGUAGUUCAGUGGUAAAACGCCUGACUGUUAAUCAGGAUGUCGCUGGUUCGAUCCCAGCCUCCGGAGCCA
This 75-nucleotide transfer RNA is filed under the name Alphaproteobacteria bacterium. RNAcentral's name for it is "tRNA-Asn". It matches the Rfam family "tRNA". Rfam says of the family: Transfer RNA (tRNA) molecules are approximately 80 nucleotides in length. Their secondary structure includes four short double-helical elements and three loops (D, anti-codon, and T loops). Lineage: Bacteria; Pseudomonadati; Pseudomonadota; Alphaproteobacteria. RNAcentral also lists the same sequence under 1 other name. The record is from RNAcentral.